This is a small nuclear RNA of Schistocerca nitens (vagrant locust), 107 nucleotides long. Lineage: Eukaryota; Metazoa; Arthropoda; Insecta; Orthoptera; Acrididae. The record is from RefSeq and is a predicted model, not a curated record.
GUACUCGCUUCGGCGGUACAUGUACUAGGAUUGGAACGAUACAGAGAAGAUUAGCAUGACCCCUGCGCAAGGACGACAAAAAAAAAAAAAAAAAGUGCCGGCACGGC